This 617-nucleotide ribosomal RNA is filed under the name unidentified archaeon. RNAcentral's name for it is "bacterial SSU rRNA". It matches the Rfam family "Archaeal small subunit ribosomal RNA", at positions 1 to 625 of the family's 1478-position model. The record is from RNAcentral.
UCCGGUUGAUCCUGCCAGAGGUUACUGCUAUCGAGGUUCGACUAAGCCAUGCGAGUCGAAUGUAGCAAUACAUGGCGUACUGCUCAGUAACACGUGGACAACCUGCCCUUAGGUCGGGUAUAAACCCGGGAAACUGGGUAUAAUCCCCGAUAGGUCUCGGCUGCUGGAAUGCAUCGAGAUUGAAAGCUCCGGCGCCUAAGGAUGGGUCUGCGGCCUAUCAGGUAGUAGUGGGUGUAGCGUACCUACUAGCCUACGACGGGUACGGGUUGUGAGAGCAAGAGCCCGGAGAUGGAUUCUGAGACACGAAUCCAGGCCCUACGGGGUGCAGCAGGCGCGAAAACUUUACAAUGCUGGCAACAGCGAUAAGGGAACCUCGAGUGCCAGGUUACAAAUCUGGCUGUCGAGAUGCCUAAAAAGCAUUUCAUAGCAAGGGCCGGGCAAGACCGGUGCCAGCCGCCGCGGUAACACCGGCGGCUCGAGUGGUAACCGUUAUUAUUGGGUCUAAAGGGUCUGUAGCCGGCCGGAUAAGUCUCUUGAGAAAUCUGGCAGCUUAACUGUCAGGCUUUCAGGAGAUACUGUCUGGCUCGAGGCCGGGAGAGGUGAGAGGUACUUCAGGG